AUGGGAGAUAAUCAAGAUCUUGCAUCAGUACUCAGGAUAGCUUCAUGGACUUUUCCCAGUGAUUUAGAGCAUCCUGUGUCAGGAGUGUUUGGUGUGCUAGGGAACCAGGCUGCCAAGAUUCAAACCUCGGCUGUACACCGUGCAAGAGAUGUGCCCUUUAUCAAGGUACCUGUAUUAGUUACCUCACCUGCAGAGUGGAGAAAUAAUGCCCUCUCCUCACAGUAGUUGUUGGGAAAUCUAUACAUAUAAAAGUAUAUACAUGCCACGUGGCAUUCAAAAAUGUAACAAACUGAAUAAAGCAUUCAUUAAGGCCA
RNAcentral lists this long non-coding RNA (314 nucleotides) under Sus scrofa (pig). RNAcentral describes it as "lncRNA (ENSSSCG00015076057.1)". The record is from RNAcentral. Lineage: Eukaryota; Metazoa; Chordata; Mammalia; Artiodactyla; Suidae.